AGUGAACGCUGGCGGUAGGCCUAACACAUGCAAGUCGAACGGCAGCACAGUAAGAGCUUGCUCUUACGGGUGGCGAGUGGCGGACGGGUGAGGAAUACAUCGGAAUCUACUUUUUCGUGGGGGAUAACGUAGGGAAACUUACGCUAAUACCGCAUACGACCUACGGGUGAAAGCAGGGGAUCUUCGGACCUUGCGCGUUUGAAUGAGCCGAUGUCGGAUUAGCUAGUUGGCGGGGUAAAGGCCCACCAAGGCGACGAUCCGUAGCUGGUCUGAGAGGAUGAUCAGCCACACUGGAACUUAGACACGGUCCAGACUCCUACGGGAGGCAGCAGUGGGGAAUAUUGGACAAUGGGCGCAAGCCUGAUCCAGCCAUACCGCGUGGGUGAAGAAGGCCUUCGGGUUGUAAAGCCCUUUUGUUGGGAAAGAAAAGCAGCAGGUUAAUACCCCGCUGUUCUGACGGUACCCAAAGAAUAAGCACCGGCUAACUUCGUG
Molecule: ribosomal RNA, 492 nt
Filed under: uncultured bacterium
Lineage: Bacteria
Description: partial 16S ribosomal RNA
Rfam family: Bacterial small subunit ribosomal RNA
Source: RNAcentral